UGAUGCGGCUUUCAAAUCGACGAUCGGCUCCGUUAGACAUGAUCUACACUAUUGAACGUAUUUGGAAACUAAAUUUCAGAAUUUUUCGACAUCAUUUGGCUAGUGAUCAAAAGGUCUCAAAAUUGACAAUUUUAAUGGUAGAUGUGAUGCAUUUGUAAAUUUAACGGUGUAAAACAAUCCAAAUCAGAUGAAAUUUUUAUAGAAAAUUUUUUUUACUAUUUAGAGUAAGAUCAGUAUCUCUGAUCUUAAAUUCAAGUCUUCUAUCAUCAUUUUUUAUGAGAUUUUUAUUUUCAGCCGUUUAUUUUUAGACUACUCGUUUGAUAGGUAAAUGAUGCCAAAAAAUUAUAAAAUUUAGUUUCCAAAUACUUUCAAUAGUGUAGAUCAAGUCUAACGGAACCGAUCGUCGAUUUGAAAGUGGUAUCAUUGAAAACAACUUGGUAGCACGGAGGUGUCCGUGCUACCGAUAGUAUAGCAGUCUAACUAAAUUUCAGAAUUUUUCGACAUCAUUUGGCUAGUGAUCAAAAGGUCUCAAAAUUGACAAUUUUAAUGGUAGAUGUGAUGCAUUUGUAAAUUUAACGGUGUAAAACAAUCCAAAUCAGAUGAAAUUUUUAUAGAAAAUUCUUUUCACCAUUUAUAGUAAAAUCAGUAUCUCUGAUCUUAAAUUCAAGUCUUCUAUCAUCAUUUUUUAUGAGAUUUUUAUUUUCAGCCGUUUAUUUUUAGACUACUCGUUUGAUAGGUAAAUGAUGCCAAAAAAUUAUAAAAUUUAGUUUCCAAAUACUUUCAAUAGUGUAGAUCAAGUCUAACGGAACCGAUCGUCGAUUUGAAAGUGGCAUCAUUGAAAACAACUUGGUAGCACGGA
Molecule: long non-coding RNA, 859 nt
Filed under: Ananas comosus (pineapple)
Lineage: Eukaryota; Viridiplantae; Streptophyta; Magnoliopsida; Poales; Bromeliaceae
Description: long non-coding RNA (ACOM_LNC011976)
Source: RNAcentral